CCCCUCUAACCCCCGGUUAGGCGUUGCUCCGAAAUAUCAACCGCGCUGUCAAACACGUUUACAGCACCACAUUUCGCCCUCAAAUCAGGUAGGACUACCCGCUGAACUUAAGCAUAUCAAUAAGCGGAGGA
RNAcentral lists this unclassified non-coding RNA (131 nucleotides) under Clavispora lusitaniae. RNAcentral describes it as "partial ITS2". The stretch from base 75 to 131 matches the Rfam family "Eukaryotic large subunit ribosomal RNA", at positions 1 to 57 of the family's 3401-position model. Lineage: Eukaryota; Fungi; Ascomycota; Pichiomycetes; Serinales; Metschnikowiaceae. The record is from RNAcentral.